ACAGGGAUUGCCCUAGUAACGGCGAGUGAAGCGGCAACAGCUCAAAUUUGAAAUCUGGCGUCUUUGGCGUCCGAGUUGUAAUUUGCAGAGGGCGCUUUGGCAUUGGCAGCGGUCCAAGUUCCUUGGAACAGGACGUCACAGAGGGUGAGAAUCCCGUACGUGGUCGCUAGCCUUUACCGUGUAAAGCCCCUUCGACGAGUCGAGUUGUUUGGGAAUGCAGCUCUAAAUGGGAGGUAAAUUUCUUCUAAAGCUAAAUACUGGCCAGAGACCGAUAGCGCACAAGUAGAGUGAUCGAAAGAUGAAAAGCACUUUGGAAAGAGAGUUAAAAAGCACGUGAAAUUGUUGAAAGGGAAGCGCUUGCAGCCAGACUUGCCUGUAGUUGCUCAUCCGGGUUUCUACCCGGUGCACUCUUCUAUAGGCAGGCCAGCAUCAGUUUGGGCGGUUGGAUAAAGGUCUCUGUCAUGUACCUCCUCUCGGGGAGAACUUAUAGGGGAGACGACAUGCAACCAGCCUGGACUGAGGUCCGCGCAUCUGCUAGGAUGCUGGCGUAAUGGCUGUAAGCGGCCCGUCUUGAAACACGGACCAAGGAGUCUAACAUCUAUGCGAGUGUUUGGGUGUCAAGCCCGAGCGCGUAAUGAAAGUGAACGGAGGUGGGAACCUUUCGGGGUGCACCAUCGACCGAUCCUGAUGUCUUCGGAUGGAUUUGAGUAAGAGCAUAGCUGUUGGGACCCGAAAGAUGGUGAACUAUGCUUGAAUAGGGUGAAGCCAGAGGAAACUCUGGUGGAGGCUCGCAGCGGUUCUGACGUGCAAAUCGAUCGUCAAAUUUGGGCAUAGGGGCGAAAGACUAAUCGAACUAUCUAGUAGCUGGUUCCUGCCGAAGUUUCCCUCAGGAUAGCAGUAACGUUUUCAGUUUUAUGAGGUAAAGCGAAUGAUUAGAGGCCUGGGGGUUGAAACAACCUU
RNAcentral lists this ribosomal RNA (960 nucleotides) under Epicoccum sp. RNAcentral's name for it is "partial large subunit ribosomal RNA". It matches the Rfam family "Eukaryotic large subunit ribosomal RNA", at positions 68 to 1048 of the family's 3401-position model. Lineage: Eukaryota; Fungi; Ascomycota; Dothideomycetes; Pleosporales; Didymellaceae. The record is from RNAcentral.